AUUACCAGCUUGCUGCAUAC
This 20-nucleotide non-coding RNA is filed under the name Mus musculus (house mouse). The record is from RNAcentral. Lineage: Eukaryota; Metazoa; Chordata; Mammalia; Rodentia; Muridae.